Molecule: ribosomal RNA, 477 nt
Filed under: uncultured bacterium
Lineage: Bacteria
Description: partial 16S ribosomal RNA
Rfam family: Bacterial small subunit ribosomal RNA
Source: RNAcentral
GAUUAACGCUGGCGGCGUGCAUAACACAUGCAAGUCGAACGAUGAAACUUAACUGAUUUCUUCGGAAUGAUUUUAAGUGGAUUAGUGGCGGACGGGUGAGUAACGCGUGAGUAACCUGCCUUGGAGAAGGGGAUAGCCUUUGGAAACGAAGAAUAAUACCCUAUGAUAUGAUAAUAUCUCAUGAUAUUAUCAUCAAAGAUUUAUCGCUCUAAGAUGGACUUGCGUCUGAUUAGUUAGUUGGUGAGGUAACAGCUCACCAAGGCAGCGAUCAGUAGCCGGCUUGUGAGAGUGUACGGCCACAUUGGGACUGAGACACGGCCCAGACUCCUACGGGAGGCAGCAGUGGGGAAUUUUGCACAAUGGGGGAAACGCUGAUGCAGCGCCGCCGCGUGAUUUAGAAGGCCUUCGGGUUGUAAAAAUCUUUUGUAUGGGAAGAAAAUGACAGUACCAUACGAAUAAGGACCGGCUAAUUACGUG